CCCAGCAUUCAGUUUAGAUUUCCCCCCCCCCCCCCAGCUCUAUCCUGCCCUAUCAACAGGCCAAGGCAGUUUCUUUAUUCACUAAUGGUAUUCACAGCAUACAGAGGGGAAUCCCACAUCAAGGUUCUAAAACGUAAUCCCUUGACCCAGCUGCCUGAGGGCACUUCAGGGACCUGGACAGAGCAGGAUGGGGGUGCAGAGUCUACUUUCCCUUCUUUUUUCUGUGUGACGGUAGAUGAGCCAUGGGCUCUGUUAGAGUUCAGCUGUCAAUCACAGGAGAGACCCAGACACCUGCUUCCUACAUUCAGCUGAUUGAAUAUCUUUUAUAAUAGAUCUGUCUAGGCUCCUCCAAGCAUUUAAGAAAACGGAGACAUACCAGGUGCUGUUUUAGGUAGAGGCAUCUUGUCUACCCCAUGCCCCAGUGGAGGAGCAGGACAGUAAGCACACAAGAAAGCAGGAUUCUUCUCAACAGCAUAUGCAGUAGAGGGACCAAGGGAGACAUUGUUAGGGAGCUUUCCAUCCUUGUAACAAAAUGCCUGAGUCUAUCAGCUUUAAGGAGAAAAAGUUCAUUUUGUCUCACGGUCUUAGAGCUUCUAGUCUGUGACCGAGUAAAUCAGCAUGGUCCAACCAUUCCUUUCAAAGGCAUGCCCCCAGUGACCUCAGGAUUUCUCACAAGGCCCUACCUCCUCUUGGUUUCACCUCUAAAACCAUCUCCUCAGAACCAUGCUAUUUUUUAAAUUUGAGUUUAAACUUUAUUUUAAUUUUGAUGUGUCUAUGCAUGUCCAUAUCUCUGUGUGUGCCUGUGUCUAUUUCUCUGUGACUGUGUCUAUGUGUCUGUGUGAAUAUGAGCAUGUGUAUACAGAUGCCUAAAGAUGCCAGAAGAGGGCAUCAGAGACCCUGGAGUUGGAGAUAUGGGUGAUUGUCAGCUGUCACACGUGGGUGUUGGGAAUUGAACUCUGGUUCUCUGGAAGAGCAGUAAGUGCUCUUAACCACUGAACCUUCUCCCCAGCCCCUGGAACCAAGCCUUGUCAUGUACUUUGGAGGAUAGUCAAGAUCCUAACACAGUAGGGAUUGAUGUGGCAGUGACCAGGGCAGGGGACAGCUUUAGAAAAGGGGAGGGCGUUUAGAGCAGAGGGACCAGAAGAGCCGAGAACUAAAUAGCGAGAGGAAUUCAGCCUGAGAGAAUCUGUAGCAAGAGCAAUGCAGAAGUGAGCCAACAAGACUUACGAGGGCAUGGGUGGCACUAACCACACCACAGUGAGGACAGCAGUAGAGGUUUGCAGACUGACGUGUGGAGAAGGAGGGCUCUGGGUUGCGAUCUGCUGGGUCAGCAUCUAGUGGCCAUGUCUGUUGAACCCUGUAAACCUGGCUGAGCAUGAUGAGCCAUGCUAGAUGUGUUCUGAUGGCGGUGUGUGUGUGUGUGUGUGUGUGUGCUGGUCAAGUAAAAGCUGUGUAGGUGGCGUGUGAUGGUCUAGAAAACGCUCCCGUCCCCAUAUAUACCAGGAGAGUACACCUGACCGUGCCCUCCAAACUGUUCCCUCUCUUAUCAGUCAUGCACUAGUGACAACAAUAUCUGCUGAAUGUUAAAUCCAGGCCAAACUAGCUUGAAACUUUUUAUAUCAUAAGGUAUAUUGUAUUAGGUUUGACCCAACAUCAAUACUUACUUUUUCAAAGAAGAAUUUGAUUUCUCUCUCUCUUUCUCUCUCUGUCUGUAUAUGUGUGUGUGUGUGUGUGUGUAUGAGAGAGAGAGAGAGAGAGAGAGAGAGAGAGAGAGACUUGUGCACAAUAGUGUACAUGAUGUGAAGGUGAAGACAACUUGAAGUAGUUAGCUCUCUCCUUCUACUAUGUGGGCUCCAGAGAUCAAACUCAGAUUGCCAAGUUUGGUGGCAUGAGUCUUAUUUUUUUUUUUUUCAAAAUAAGACGGAACCUUACUAUGUAGCUCAGACUGGCCCGAAAAUUAGCAGGAGCACACAGAGAACCUUCUUAGCUCCAAAUAUCUCAUUCACUAUCGCUCCUGUCUCCAUCUCACUCCCCCAGCCUCAUUCAUCCCUGUACAAUCCAAUUCUGGGAGUACUUCCUGUUCUCACGCCCGCAGCCACAUCCUGUUUUCCUACAGUCCACCCACACACAUUUAAUGACCAGUCAUGGUCAUUGUCAUUCUGCCCUCAGUGCCUGUCCCUCCUUCUGGCUAAACUAUGAGAUUGCUGGACUGAGGCCUCCAGCUGUCUGGCUUCCUUUUCAAGCAAUAAGAACCAAACUCAAAAGAUGCAUGCUUCUGGGUUCCUACUGCUUCCUAGGAGACAAAGCAAUUAGAAGAGGAAGCCCACAAAGCCUCAGUACUGGAUCAGCUUCACAGUAGCAUCUGCCAGCAUGGGUACCCUCGGAUGCUGUCUUCCAGCCUUCAUUCUGGACACUUGUCCUCUCCUGGCAGAGCCCGGUCCUGCACCCAUAGAGACAUCCUCUCCUGCCCAUGCUAAGGGCAUCGCCCCAUCACUUCUCUUUCUCCUGCAUCAGCACAUUCUCUCUUCCUAAGUGCUGUGCCUUAACCAAUGAACCAUCAGGAUUCCACACUUUCUUGUUUACUAGGUCAUUCUCACCAGCAUGUAAGCAUGCUGGUUUUUUUAAUCAAGCAAAAACAAAAAUGAAUUCAAGCAACCAUGUAUUCUUCACUCUUUGCAACAACAACAACAACAACAAAAACUUGAAGUUAAAUAUCCUUGCUCACUCUGUUUUCUCUCCUUUCAAUUUCUUGAGAACCCAGUUUAAGAAUCUGUUCAGGGACUGGCGAAGAUGGUUCAGUUGGCAAACCUUGGGUUCAAUUCCCAGCAUCCAUAUGGCAGCUCACAAACUUGCGUAAUGCUAGUUCCAGGAGGAUCUGACGCCCUCUUCUGGUCUCCAUGCCGUGUAGAGCGUUUUAUGCAGGCAAAACACUCAUACAAAUAAAAUAACAAAAACCAGAGAAGGCAUAUAAAUGGUAAUGAAAGAGUUCUGUGAUCAAAGAAAUUAAAAUUAUAUGAGAACAAGUAUAAAUGUGGCAGAUGCUUGUUGAGGUCACAGGUGGGGCUGGAAUCAGAGUACCUGGUGAGGACCUGUGCCCCUGGGAGACCCAGCUUCCUCCAGCUAGACAGUAGAAGAGGAAACAGUUGGCCGGUCUUGCAGAGGACCACAGGGAGAAAGCCACCACAUGAUUCCUGUGUUUUCUCUGGGUAGCAGGAGGCACUGUGUAUGCAUUCUGGGAGGAUUUGGAAAGGUGUAGCUAGUGGGAGGUGAGAAAACCACAAAGUGAGUGGGUGGCGAUCUGACGAUGUGGUUCUCAGAGUGAUUGUGACUCAGACUCUUGGGGGAGCGGGGCUUGGAAAAGCUGAUUGUAGGCCAUCAUGGCCACAUUCUUCCAUUCACCCAUCAGGAUGGUGGGGCUCAGGUACCUGCACUGGGUUUCCAGGAUGCUGAUGUUCAGGUACCUGCACUGGGUUUCCAGGAUCUGAUGCUCAGGUACCUGCACUGGGUUUCAGGAUGCUGAUGUUCAGGUACCUGCACUGGGUUUCCAGGAUGCUGAUGCUCAGGUACCUGCACUGGGUUUCCAGGAUGCUGAUGCUCAGGUACCUGCACUGGGUUUCCAGGAUCUGAUGCUCAGGUACCUGCACUGGGUUUCAGGAUGCUGAUGUUCAGGUACCUGCACUGGGUUUCCAGGAUGCUGAUGCUCAGGUACCUGCACUGGGUUUCUAGGAUGCUAUGCUCAGGUACCUGCACUAGGUUUCCAAGAUGCUGGUGUGAUGCUGAUGAGCCUUAGCCUGAGGACCACUGAUCUGGAGUAGAGAAUAGAGACCAGGAGUGCACCUCUGUCUUGCUCGGUCUGCCUUGCCCUGAGGUGCCUACUGGUCUAAGUCAGGUGACCAUGCCCAUUCAGGAGUGGAAUUCUGUAGGAAGAGCCCACGAAGAAAAGAAGUAAGGUUGGGGUUCCCAUGAGUCUGAAUGGCACAACUGACCCCAGUUAUAGAUAGAGUCAUCCGAAGACAAGAGAGAAAGAAGCCUGGAGAGGAACUGGUGAUAGUUUCUCACAGUGCUGACAAAUUUCUAGGAGAACAUCUUCAAGGAGUUUUGGGCCAUGGUUUCCAUCCAUGGUCACCUUCUUCUACUGCACAGGUCUGAAGUGACACAGAGCAUCAUGAUGGAAGAGUGGAGGAGAAAAUGGCUCUCCUCAGAAUGGCCAGGAAGAAGUUAGUGUGGGACAGGAUGGGAGAGACAAGAUACGCCCUUCAAAGGCGUGACCCCCAACCUCCUAAAGUUCCUACCAACUGACACCAAUUAGGGACUCAGCCUUCACCACACAAGCCUGGGGGUAACAUUUCAUAUUCAAAUCCUAACAGUGUCCCUGAUAAUCACUAGGCAUUUCCAUCAGGCUGAUAUCACAGAAUUGAUUUCCUGACAUUUUUUUUUUUUU
Arvicola amphibius (Eurasian water vole) is the source of this 4441-nucleotide long non-coding RNA. RefSeq lists it as uncharacterized. The transcript is spliced from 2 exons. NCBI's taxonomy places the organism in Eukaryota, Metazoa, Chordata, Mammalia, Rodentia, Cricetidae. The record is from RefSeq and is a predicted model, not a curated record.